Molecule: long non-coding RNA, 3710 nt
Filed under: Lathyrus oleraceus (garden pea)
Lineage: Eukaryota; Viridiplantae; Streptophyta; Magnoliopsida; Fabales; Fabaceae
Description: Pisum sativum (pea) long non-coding RNA (PSAT_LNC004358)
Source: RNAcentral
GUAGUGAGGUUAGAGACGGCUUGUUUGACGUUUGGUUUUUGAGCUUCUAUGAGAGCGUUCAUGGCGGAAAUUGGAGCGGUGUUUGGAGGAAGAGAACAUUCUGGAAGGUCGAUGACGUUGAUUGAAUCGGUGAUUGGCAGGGAUUUGGUGUAAUCGGUUUCUGAGGCAUGUGGGAGUUUCAUAAGAAGGAUUGUUAUUCGGAGACGGGUGUCACGGUUGAUUAGAAGAUUCGCGAACUCGAGAGUGGAAACUAUAUGACUCGUAACGGGAAAAGGGAUAAACACCACUUCUGCUUUCUUCAUCUUGGAGCAGAGGAUACACAAUUAUUCAAUGUAAGUUACUGUGUUUUGAAUUGUUCUUUGAUUCUACUGUUUUUUUUAUAUAGGAAUUGAGAUAGAAAACCCCAAUUUCAGUAGGAUGAAUUAGAAUCAUGUGUUUGGUAUAUCUCUGUGUCUGCACACCAUUAUUGAAAUAUAUACGAGAUUAAAAUUGACUAAGACAUGUUUGAUUGCUCUUGAAUAGAAUUGAUCACCCGGAUGAAAUUAAGGCAAUAAUACUACACUGACUUAAGCAAAAAAGUGUAUUCUAGAAUAUCUGAUUUAGCCCAUUCAUUUAAAUUUCAAAUUGGACUAAGUUUGAGAUUGGAAUGAGAGUGAUGUCAUUGCUUUGCUGGUUGGUAUGGAAAAUGUGGAAUGAGUUAAGGUGAGAUUGAAAUGUUUGUCUUUAUAUUUAUGGAAAAAUGAAUGGAUGGUUGGGGCUAUUGGUUAGACUAGUUUUCUUUGCUUUUGGUAUUAGUAAUUUACUAUGGUCCUACAUGUGGACUUUUGAGAAUUAUGUGGUAAACAAGGGUUUAGUCUGAAUAGUUAUUAUAUUCUUGGAAUUAUUCAUUAUUCAAUGAAUCAUAUUUGGCCCUUUUUUUUUAAAAUGAUUUUUUAUGGUGUAAUAUAUUUUAAUGUAAAAAUUUUAUAAAUAAAUUUUUUAUAAAAGUUUCAAAUGAAAUUUGGUUUGAAUAGUUAUUUUUAAAAUAUUAUUUUAGGUAUUUUAUGAUUUUAUCGAAAAAAAAUUGAUAUCAAAAUUUUAAAAAAUUAUUUAAUUUUGAAACUAUUUCAAAUAGUUUUUCAUAAAAAUCAUUUUUGAAAUAGAACUUUUUGAGAAAAGUGUGAUUUUGACUAUACUUUGAUUUUCAUCUGGGUUUAUGUCAUAGUAUAUCAAAAUUAGUUUUUUAAUUUAUAAAAAACAAAUUUAGAAAAAAUUGUAAUAUUUUUAAAUAUAUUUUGUAAAAUCCAUUUUCAAAAAUUUUAAAAAAUAUAUUUUUUUAAAGCUAAAACAAACUGGCUUGGUUCGUGGGAAUGCUUAUUGCAUACAAUAGGACAAUAUAGUGAAGACUACCACAUUCAAAAAAAAAAAUUAUAUUCUGGAUUGUUUUGGAGCUUUUGUAGACCUGAUUUUGUUACAAUAAUAUCCUCUGGACUGGAAUUUUAUGGUUCAAGCUUCUUAUAAUAUCAGUGUUAUCAAAUAUCUGCCAUGGCGACACUAUGGCUGAUAUACGCGGCAGCUUUUAGGCUCCACAAUAGUAAAUAUUGGCCGAUAUUGCAUGUUUUUCUGCUGUAAUCGGCACUGUAAAGGGACUGGUAUGGCGGGAUUUUGGCCCUCCACCAUCUUUUACUCAAACAUAUAAUAUAUGUUUGAGGUUUUUUAGGUCAUAGAAAGAGAGGAUUUACUUUAGUAAAGGGACUGGUAUGGCGGGAUUUUGGCCCUCCACCAUCUUUUACUCAAACAUAUAAUAUAUGUUUGAGGUUUUUUAGGUCAUAGAAAGAGAGGAUUUACUUUUCAACUGCAAAUCAUAUCAAAUAUUCAAUCCCUUGAAAAUUGGAAGGUUGUGUCAGGAAUCUGCAACUAACAGAUUAAUUGAACAUAUAUCACAACAAGAACCUAUUUUAUAAAGCAUAUGAAAAUGAAAGUAUUGCAAUAAGGGUGAAAAUUGCAUCAAAGUGCUUCCGUGAGUAUUGUAUUUGAGUUUCUAUUACAGUACUGGAGGUUGAGAGGAAUGUGUGUAGGGACAUAGGAAUAGGAAUAGUUUUAUGGCUUGUUGCAGUGGUUGUAGAUGUGAAAGUUGUGCAUAUAUAUAUUGUUAGGUUUGUUGCAUAAUUCUAGUUGCUUUGGUUGCUACCCUUUAAUUUUGAUCAUGUUUAUUGGAUACGCUAAAGACUUUGGCCAGGAGUUUAGACAUUGUUAAAAUACUAAAUGUGGAUAUCUUUGAUAUUUUUGUAUGUCGGUACAAUGAUAAUUGGAUUUCAUAUAUGAUUUAUAAUAUAAUCAAUCAAACGACCUAAAUGAGUGUAAGAAGAUCCACCCUCUAACAUCGUCUUCCUACUUUUCUGACUCAUCUCUUUCACUUUCUUCUUGAACUCUCCAUUUAUAUCCAACACAUUUCUUAUUCCUCUUUCAAUCUUGUCCGCAGUUAAAAGAUAGUUAGGUUCACCCAUAAACUCCACUUUAUAAUCUAAUGUAAUCUCAACAGCCAUCUUCAACUCAUACACCAAUUGAAAAGCAUUAGUUUGUUGUUCAGCAAAAAGUGGCCAUGUGGCAAUGGGUACACCAAAAUAUAUACUCUCCAGUAUAGAAUUCCAACCACAGUGAGAAACAAAUCCUCCCGUAGCUGGGUGGGAUAAUAUUUGAGUCUGUGGAGCCCACCCUAUUAUCCUUCCAAUCUCCUUCGUUCGAUCUAAAAAUCCUUCGGGUAAAAGCUUAACCAGAUCCGAAAUAGAAUAGUCAGAGGGCAUUGCCAUGACACCCUUCGGUUGAGGUUUCCGCAGAGACCACACAAAGCGGACCCCACUAUUCUCAAUAGCAUGUGCGAUCUCGUUAACCUGAUCCUCAUCAAAAGAACCCCUGGUCCCAAAGCAAAUGAAAACUACCGAGGAAGGAGGUUGAUCGUCAAGCCACUUGAUGAUAUCAUCUGAAUCAACGGUACCCUUGGUUUUGGGCUCUGGGUUUAAAAUGGGCCCCACCGGGUAUAUAGUUUGUAAAGCAGCUAGAUCAGGAUGAGAUAAAAACGAGUGAACCGCAUAGGAUUCUAGCUCUUCAAAUGAAUUUACAAUAAUACCAUCAGCGUUCUUGAGACCUCUUACAUAGUUCAUGAACAUCGAUUCCCAUUCCUUGUUUACCACAAUAUCUGGAAACGAGUAUAACGGAACCGAGUUUUCGAAACUCGGGAUAUCCAACUCAGUGAGUUGCUGCAACCGAGUCACAUCGACGUUGUCUCGUUCACGGAGAGUGUGAAGAUGAAGAUUCAAACCAAGUGAAGCAACGCCGGAAGUGAAGAAAACAAGCGUAGGAACGGAAAAUUCUUUGGCAAUAUCAAUCAUAGUGGUGCAGAACAUGUCAACAACGAAGGCGGCGAGGACUCCGUUUUCUCCUCUUUCAAUAGCGAGGUUAGAGACGGCUUGUUUGACGUUUGGUUUCUGAGCUUCUAAGUGAGCAACUAUGGCGGAACUUGGAGGAGUGUUUGGAGGAAGAGAACAUUCUGGAAGGUUGAUGACGUUGAUUGAAUCGGUGAUUGGAAGAGAUUUAAUGUAAUCUGUUUCUGAGGCGUGUGGGAGUUUCAUAACUAAGACGGUUAUUCGGAGACGGUUGUCCCGGUUGAUUAGAAGCUUCACGAACUCGAGAGUGGAAACUAUAUGGCUUGUAACUGGCAAAGGGAUAAACAC